RNAcentral lists this ribosomal RNA (867 nucleotides) under uncultured Acinetobacter sp. Its description in RNAcentral is "bacterial SSU rRNA". It matches the Rfam family "Bacterial small subunit ribosomal RNA", at positions 58 to 919 of the family's 1533-position model. The record is from RNAcentral. Lineage: Bacteria; Pseudomonadati; Pseudomonadota; Gammaproteobacteria; Moraxellales; Moraxellaceae.
CAAGUCGAGCGGAGAGAGGUAGCUUGCUACUGAUCUUAGCGGCGGACGGGUGAGUAAUGCUUAGGAAUCUGCCUAUUAGUGGGGGACAACAUUUCGAAAGGAAUGCUAAUACCGCAUACGUCCUACGGGAGAAAGCAGGGGAUCUUCGGACCUUGCGCUAAUAGAUGAGCCUAAGUCGGAUUAGCUAGUUGGUGGGGUAAAGGCCUACCAAGGCGACGAUCUGUAGCGGGUCUGAGAGGAUGAUCCGCCACACUGGGACUGAGACACGGCCCAGACUCCUACGGGAGGCAGCAGUGGGGAAUAUUGGACAAUGGGCGCAAGCCUGAUCCAGCCAUGCCGCGUGUGUGAAGAAGGCCUUAUGGUUGUAAAGCACUUUAAGCGAGGAGGAGGCUACUUUAGUUAAUACCUAGAGAUAGUGGACGUUACUCGCAGAAUAAGCACCGGCUAACUCUGUGCCAGCAGCCGCGGUAAUACAGAGGGUGCAAGCGUUAAUCGGAUUUACUGGGCGUAAAGCGCGCGUAGGCGGCUAAUUAAGUCAAAUGUGAAAUCCCCGAGCUUAACUUGGGAAUUGCAUUCGAUACUGGUUAGCUAGAGUGUGGGAGAGGAUGGUAGAAUUCCAGGUGUAGCGGUGAAAUGCGUAGAGAUCUGGAGGAAUACCGAUGGCGAAGGCAGCCAUCUGGCCUAACACUGACGCUGAGGUGCGAAAGCAUGGGGAGCAAACAGGAUUAGAUACCCUGGUAGUCCAUGCCGUAAACGAUGUCUACUAGCCGUUGGGGCCUUUGAGGCUUUAGUGGCGCAGCUAACGCGAUAAGUAGACCGCCUGGGGAGUACGGUCGCAAGACUAAAACUCAAAUGAAUUGACGGGGG